ACCCGCUGAAUUUAAGCAUAUCAAUAAGCGGAGGAAGAGAAACUAACGAGGAUUCCCUCAGUAACGGCGAGCGAAGUGGGAAGAGCUCGAGCCUGUAAUCCCCGGCCGUCGGAGAAUUGUGGCCGGGAGAGGCAGCCGUUGCGCCGUCGAAGUCGACCUGGAAAGGCACGUCGGAGAGGGUGAGAGCCCCGGAGAGUCGGGUUGUUUGGGAAUGCAGCCCAAAGUGGGUGGUAAACUCCAUCUAAAGCUAAAUUCCGGCACGACAC
RNAcentral lists this ribosomal RNA (266 nucleotides) under Lycopodina hypogea. Its description in RNAcentral is "partial 28S ribosomal RNA". It matches the Rfam family "Eukaryotic large subunit ribosomal RNA", at positions 23 to 334 of the family's 3401-position model. The record is from RNAcentral. Lineage: Eukaryota; Metazoa; Porifera; Demospongiae; Poecilosclerida; Cladorhizidae.